CCUACGGGAGGCAGCAGUGAGGAAUAUUGGUCAAUGGUCGGGAGACUGAACCAGCCAAGCCGCGUGAGGGAUGAAGGUACAGAGUAUCGUAAACCUCUUUUGUCAGGGAACAAAGGCGGGGACGUGUCCCCGGCUGAGUGUACCUUAAGAAAAAGCAUCGGCUAACUCCUUGCCAGCAGCCGCGGUAAUACGGAGGAUGCGACCGUGAUCCGGAUUUAUUGGGUUUAAGGGGUGCGCAGGCGGUCUGUUAAGUCAGCGGUCAAAGCCCGGGGCUCAACCCCGGCCCGCCGUUGAAACUGGCAGUCUCGAGUUGGAGAGAAGUAUGCGGAAUGCGCGGUGUAGCGGUGAAAUGCAUAGAUAGCGCGCAGAACUCCGAUUGCGAAGGCAGCAUGCCGGCUCCACACUGACGCUGAGGCACGAAAGCGUGGGUAUCGAACAGGAUUAGAUACCCUGGUAGUC
Molecule: ribosomal RNA, 459 nt
Filed under: uncultured bacterium
Lineage: Bacteria
Description: partial 16S ribosomal RNA
Rfam family: Bacterial small subunit ribosomal RNA
Source: RNAcentral